UCGGUCCGCCUCGAUCGAUUAGCGGCCCUCCGUUGCCUGCAAACGCGCCCGCGUCCGCGCCCGCCGCGUUCCGCCGUCGAUCCUCGGGGUUGGCUUCGAGCCGUCCCUCGGCCCGACGAGACCCCGACGCAGCACUGGCCCUACGAUCAAUCGCCCUCCCUCCGCCAACUCUCUCCGCCUCCAACUCCCUGGUCCAGUUUCCCUCCCCAUCGCAGCAACGCCGCCGCCGCCGUCCAGGGUUCCCCGUCCUGCAUCUCCAUCGGCCUCCAUUGCAAAACACCGCCGCCGCCGCCGCCGUGAGAUCCUCUAGCACCGCCGCCGCCGUCGCCGCAACACCGACACCACUGCCGCCGCAACACCGAUGCCGUCGUUCAGGAUUUUGCCACACCGACCGCCGCCGCAACACCUGCGCCGCCGCCGCCGUCAAGAGUGGCGGCGCUUCGACAGCGAGAGGCGGUGCCCCCCGAUCCAUCCCGGCGGCGGAUCCUGUACAGUGGGAGGGGUGGCGCCCCAAUCUAGUCGCCCAUCCAUCCCCAUCGAGGUGCUCCUCACCCAUCAAAAUUCCUGUCUUGAAAUUCACAUGAUGCUUAACUGAUCCGCCGCACCUCCCCCGCAUUCGUCUGCAGCCGAUUUCCUCCAGUCCGGCACGGAGGACGGGCGUGAGGGCGACCGCCGCACCUGCGCUUGCCUACGCUCGUGCAGGCCAAGGUACCAUCCUGCAAGGGGAGGGCCAGGAGAGCGCCGACGACAUCUGGUGCCUUGGUCAUCACCUUGCGUGAAACGUCGCCGCGCUGGUGGCCAAACUGCAUUCCGCUCUAUUAAAAAGCCGUGAGGAAGAGAGUGGGAUUUGCAUGCUCCUGAAGAAUAUGGAUCGGAGGCCAAGGAACUCAUCCCUCAAUUUAUAGAUUUUAAGGAGGUGAGCAGAAUGGAGGAGAGUUUUAAAGAAUGGUUGGAGACUACGUGCUCCACUGCUCCAGGUGAAAAUUUGAUGCUUUCCUUCUUGUUUUAUCAUUUUGCUUACUCGAAUUAGGGGCACAAAAUCUGGUUCGCCUUUGACCUGAAGGGUUGUUCAGCGCAUAAACUUUUUUACAUGAAUAGUGGACUGCACAUACUGCCUCAUUUCAUGGACAAUGGUAAGUUCAAACAAAUUCUUCUAGGCAUUUCUACAUCCUCUUAACUAUACUGCAUUUUCUUUUUAUAUUUUAUAUUAUUAUGUUCACCACAUGGGUGUGUUGGUUUCUUUCCUCUUUAUUGCAAGACCAAUUUAUCUCUUGCUUCCUGCACUAGGCUGUUUCUUAUUGAUCCUUUUCCUGAAUAAUUGUAAGAUUAGUUUGUGCUUUGGAAUUGUAAAACCCAUUCUAUUAUUUGUGUACUAUUUGGCAUUUUAAUUUAUUUUAAGUGAGAGAUUAUUAGGUUAACGUUCUGUCACACAAAAGCAAGGUAAGCUUGCUUAUUGCAGCUUAUAUCAGUAUUUCCUUCUCACUUCAACUGUACUAAUCAGAUUAAUAAUGUCCCAUCAUAUGAACCACACUUUAUGUUGUUAACCUAUUUUCCCUAAUCGGUCAUGAGUUACUUGCCGCAGUAAGAUGCUGCUACUCUCUUCAAUAGCAUUAGGUUACAUAUACACAAUGAAGUAAAGUUUGUUAGAAUGGAAAAACAAAAUGAUUCUUCUGAUCUUCCUGCAAGUGGCAAGCAUUUGUAUUCUAAGCCUUUUGAUUUGGUUUCUAAUAUAAUUUUUAGUUGAUAAGAAAUUUAUUGGUCCCGAUUGUCAUAAGAUCUUAGAAGCCUGAUUAGAUCUCUGUCCAAUUCAAUCGGCAUGGAGCUGAGAAGGUGGGUUGUAUUCUGGUAGGGAAUAUUAGCUUGAUAAAAAUACCCUGAUGUUUUAUCGUACACUACAUGAGGCCUACUUUAUCAUUGGACAAUAUUUUACUAUCUUCUGAAUUAUAUGGUGAAGCAUCACAUUUUAUCCUACUAUCCUAGUGUAUUACAGCUUCAUAUUGCAAAUGCUGUAAGUUCCCAAAAAAACAGGGAACGUAUGAGAUGACAAUGCUUUGAUCCCUUUCCCAUUAUCUCAUCAAUACAAAGGCAAAUAUAUUAUCCUUUAUCCCUUUUCCAUUAUCUCCGUAAUUAAGAAGGGGACUUCAGAGAUUUUAGGGAUAAAGGGCCGGCUGAUAACUCAGGCGCAGGGAGGGGAAAUCGCCCUGAUGAUUUUAGGGAACAAGGGUUAAAUUUCCUUAUGAGCCUAUAUUUAAUUCUAGAUGUCUUUUUUACAAAACGUGGUGGGCACAUAUUCCAAACCAGCUGUGCUACAUUGUCAUGAAUAUUUUGUUUUCAUCUUGUGUUGCAAUAUUGAUCCCUUGUAUGAAUGUAUGAUAAACUGAUGGCUUUAUCUGAUUACUUCAUGCAGUGUGAUGACAUAAGCUACAAUGCAAAGUAUGAGCAUAUUGUUUUUCAGAGGUACUUACUACUUGUUUGUGAAAUUGGCUUCCACAUGUAUUAAAAUGCAUAUGGCCGAAUGGCACGACAAGAGUGCUAAGAUAUGAUUGUGAGCUCUUUGCUGAUUGUUGGCUUAGCGAUUGUUCUUUCAAUUGAGCUAUAUAUAUUUCUUGCUGCUCAUAGACUGAAAGCUUGCCAAAUUGUGGUAGUCCAUUAGAUUAGUUUUCAGCUCAUAAACUGAAAGUACAGCAAACAACUGUAUUAGCUCGGGUGCCGUUUGCAUGGGUGAUUCUUUGUUUGCCGUGUUGGCUUUUUAGUUAGGUUGUACAUAGUAGAAUGCAAACUUUCUCAAUUGAUCUUACUAUUUCCAUUUCAUUGUGCCUAUGGAAUGGUCAAGAUGUGGUCAGUGAUAACCAAAGCUAUAUAUCUUAUUUUAGUGUUUGACAUGUGUGGCCAUUUUGUAGGGUGAUCAGCAUGCUUAGCAUUGGUGGGUUUUGGAUCUUUCAGAAUUUGACAGGGUCAGACUAAUCUGGCUUCUCCUCAUUACAGAACUGAAUUGUGAACUCUAUAGAGUUGUAGCAUAGAAUUUAGUUGUUAUAUAUGGGAAUUUUGAAUUGCAGUAUUGACUGUUUGUAUGCAGUAACUGGUGGUGUAGAACAUCCCGAAUCUGUUUGACACAGCAGUUACUUUUUUGUAAAUACACCUGUUCUUGAUAGGCAGGAUAGUGAAAUCGCUAAAUGAAUGGCUUGCCAAAUGUGUUGAGUGAUCACAAUGGUGAUAAAAAAGCUGUUAAAAGUAUUAAGUUUUUUCUGAUACAGAAACAUGUGUCUAGCUGAAUGGUGCUUACAGGAACAGCUGCUAUAAUUUCUUACUUAUACUAAUUCAGUGGUAUGCCAAAUCUUUUUCUUUAUGAAUUGACUAUUUCCACCACUUCAUGUUCCCUUCAUAUGCUUAUGACUUUUGGACACUGACACCCGCUCUCAUCCAAAUAUGGUCAUUUUUUUUCUUUUUUUCCUUUUCUUUGACAUCUGUUUUUCCUUCUUUUUUUUGGAGCAAAGCAGGUCCGUUGGUAUGCAUGUUUUGGGUAAUAUAUGUCACUCAACUUUAACUAUGGGGUGAAUUUAGAAUUAGAAUGACUCAUGUAGGUUGGAAGGAGCACCAUAUUUCAUAAGCCUCAUACUUUGCACCAUUUUCACUAUUACCGCGGUCUUUACUGUUAAGCUCCAGGUGGAAGAGUAGUCAAAUAUUUAGUGAGGAGUUUAAGCUAUUCAUAUCAGAAUUAUAACUUUGGUCCUAUCUAAGUCAUAAAUAGUCUAUUAUUUGGAUGUAGUGAUCUGUAUGUAUCCUAUACACUGAUAUUGUUCAUCAUAUCAAGAUUUAUGUCUGAAUUCCGUAUUUGUCCUGAGAAAGUAGAUUUAUGUCAGAUUUCUGUUACAUCUGAUGAGAAAGUAGAAGCUUUUGAUCACAAUGAAAGAGAUGGUAUGCAUUCACCAUAACAAGAGAAGUUAAUUUAUUUUUGUCUCUAAUGUCCAUGUCCUCUUACCUAUGUUUAAAGUUUCAUAUGAGGACCAUGAAAGAGCUUACUUUGAUUCUGCUGACUGGGCUUUGGGGAAGGUACUGUCCUGGUAUUUUCAGGACUGGUUGUUUAUCUAGGGUCUGUUCAGGCCGUUUGGUUCAGUGAGCUUGAAUCGUUACUAUAGUUGGACAUAAGGCAAAGAGCAAAUGUAUAUUCAGUUUCAAGUGUUGUGUUAAACUUGAACUGAGACAUGGUGUUGGAUUAUAAUUUUACUUGAAUUAACUAUUUUUGUAUA
Setaria italica (foxtail millet) is the source of this 4247-nucleotide long non-coding RNA. RefSeq lists it as uncharacterized. NCBI's taxonomy places the organism in Eukaryota, Viridiplantae, Streptophyta, Magnoliopsida, Poales, Poaceae. The record is from RefSeq and is a predicted model, not a curated record. The transcript is spliced from 2 exons.